This 253-nucleotide ribosomal RNA is filed under the name uncultured bacterium. Its description in RNAcentral is "partial 16S ribosomal RNA". It matches the Rfam family "Bacterial small subunit ribosomal RNA", at positions 524 to 776 of the family's 1533-position model. The record is from RNAcentral.
UACGAAGGGGGCUAGCGUUGUUCGGAAUUACUGGGCGUAAAGGGCGCGUAGGCGGCGUGUCAAGUCAGGCGUGAAAGCCCCGGGCUCAACCUGGGAACCGCGCUUGAGACUGGCAUGCUCGAGUUCGGGAGAGGAUGGUGGAAUUCCCAGUGUAGAGGUGAAAUUCGUAGAUAUUGGGAAGAACACCGAUGGCGAAGGCAGCCAUCUGGACCGACAUUGACGCUGAGGAGCGAAAGCUAGGGGAGCAAACGGG